CAUAGGGGCGGUCAAUAUACAUGCAAGUCGAGCGGACAGAAGGGAGCUUGCUCCCGGAUGUUAGCGGCGGACGGGUGAGUAACACGUGGGUAACCUGCCUGUAAGACUGGGAUAACUCCGGGAAACCGGAGCUAAUACCGGAUAGUUCCUUGAACCGCAUGGUUCAAGGAUGAAAGACGGUUUCGGCUGUCACUUACAGAUGGACCCGCGGCGCAUUAGCUAGUUGGUGAGGUAACGGCUCACCAAGGCGACGAUGCGUAGCCGACCUGAGAGGGUGAUCGGCCACACUGGGACUGAGACACGGCCCAGACUCCUACGGGAGGCAGCAGUAGGGAAUCUUCCGCAAUGGACGAAAGUCUGACGGAGCAACGCCGCGUGAGUGAUGAAGGUUUUCGGAUCGUAAAGCUCUGUUGUUAGGGAAGAACAAGUGCAAGAGUAACUGCUUGCACCUUGACGGUACCUAACCAGAAAGCCACGGCUAACUACGUGCCAGCAGCCGCGGUAAUACGUAGGUGGCAAGCGUUGUCCGGAAUUAUUGGGCGUAAAGGGCUCGCUUUUGGUUUCUUAAGUCUGAUGUGAAAGCCCCCGGCUCAACCGGGGAGGGUCAUUGGAAACUGGGAAACUUGAGUGCAGAAGAGGAGAGUGGAAUUCCACGUGUAGCGGUGAAAUGCGUAGAGAUGUGGAGGAACACCAGUGGCGAAGGCGACUCUCUGGUCUGUAACUGACGCUGAGGAGCGAAAGCGUGGGGAGCGAACAGGAUUAGAUACCCUGGUAGUCCACGCCGUAAACGAUGAGUGCUAAGUGUUAGGGGGUUUCCGCCCCUUAGUGCUGCAGCUAACGCAUUAAGCACUCCGCCUGGGGAGUACGGGUCGCAAGACUGAAACUCAAGGAAUUGACGGGGGCCCGCCACAAGCGGUGGAGCAUGUGGUUUAAUUCGAAGCAACGCGAAGAAACUUUAACCAGGUCUUGACAUCCUCUGACAACCCUAGAGAAUAGGUCUUUCCUUUCGGGGACAGAGUGACAAGGUGCUGCAUGCUUGUCGUCAGCUCCUUGCUCGAGAGCAUGAUGGGAUUAAGUCACACCAACCCAAGGCGCCACCCUUGAUCCUAAGUUGCCAAGCCAAGCUGGCAACUCAAAGUGAACUUGCCGUGUGACCAACCGGAGAAGUAGAGUAAUAUGACUCGCU
Molecule: ribosomal RNA, 1186 nt
Filed under: Bacillus aerius
Lineage: Bacteria; Bacillati; Bacillota; Bacilli; Caryophanales; Bacillaceae
Description: bacterial SSU rRNA
Rfam family: Bacterial small subunit ribosomal RNA
Source: RNAcentral